GACGAGGGGUCCUAGCGUUGUUCGGAAUCAUUGGGCGUAAAGCGUUUGUAGGCUGCCAUUCAAGUCAGUUGUGAAAGCCCCGGGCUUAACCCGGGAAGUGCUUCUGAUACUGUUUGGCUUGAGUACUGGAGAGGAUAGUAGAAUUCCUGGUGUAGUGGUGAAAUACGUAGAUAUCAGGAGGAAUACCGGUGGCGAAGGCGGCUAUCUGGCCAUGUACUGACGCUGAGACGCGAAAGCGUGGGGAGCGAACAGG
This 253-nucleotide ribosomal RNA is filed under the name uncultured bacterium. Its description in RNAcentral is "partial 16S ribosomal RNA". It matches the Rfam family "Bacterial small subunit ribosomal RNA", at positions 524 to 776 of the family's 1533-position model. The record is from RNAcentral.